This 553-nucleotide ribosomal RNA is filed under the name Proteus mirabilis. RNAcentral's name for it is "partial 23S ribosomal RNA". It matches the Rfam family "Bacterial large subunit ribosomal RNA", at positions 1217 to 1770 of the family's 2925-position model. Lineage: Bacteria; Pseudomonadati; Pseudomonadota; Gammaproteobacteria; Enterobacterales; Morganellaceae. The record is from RNAcentral.
AGUGUUGUUGGGUAGGGGAGCGUUCUGUAAGCCUGCGAAGGUGUACUGUGAGGUAUGCUGGAGGUAUCAGAAGUGCGAAUGCUGACAUAAGUAACGAUAAUGCGGGUGAAAAACCCGCACGCCGGAAGACCAAGGGUUCCUGUCCAACGUUAAUCGGGGCAGGGUGAGUCGACCCCUAAGGCGAGGCUGAAAAGCGUAGUCGAUGGGAAACGGGUUAAUAUUCCCGUACUGGUGGUAACUGCGAUGGGGGAACGGAGAAGGCUAGGUUGUCCGGGCGACGGUCGUCCCGGUUCAAGCAGGUAGGCAGAGUGAUUAGGCAAAUCCGGUCACUUAAUGCUGAGAUGUGAUGACGAACCACCAAGGUGGUGAAGCAAUUGAUGCCCCGCUUCCAGGAAAAGCCUCUAAGCUUCAGGUUACCAACAAUCGUACCCCAAACCGACACAGGUGGUCAGGUAGAGAAUACUCAGGCGCUUGAGAGAACUCGGGUGAAGGAACUAGGCAAAAUGGUGCCGUAACUUCGGGAGAAGGCACGCUGGCGGUAGGUAAAGUCCCU